RNAcentral lists this unclassified non-coding RNA (391 nucleotides) under soil metagenome. Its description in RNAcentral is "partial contains 5.8S ribosomal RNA, internal transcribed spacer 2, and large subunit ribosomal RNA". The stretch from base 1 to 122 matches the Rfam family "5.8S ribosomal RNA", at positions 35 to 154 of the family's 154-position model. The record is from RNAcentral.
GAUGAAGAACGCAGCGAAAUGCGAUACUUGGUGUGAAUUGCAGAAUCCCGUGAACCAUCGAGUCUUUGAACGCAAGUUGCGCCCGAAGCCAUUAGGCCGAGGGCACGCCUGCCUGGGCGUCACACGUCGUUGCCCCCCCAUCUACUCCUUCGGGAUUGCGGGGGGCGGAUGAUGGCCUCCCGUGCGCCUCGUCGCGCGGUUGGCAUAAAUGCCAAGUCCUCGGCGACGCACGCCACGACAAUCGGUGGUUGCGAAACCUCGGUUGCCCGUCGUGUGCGGUCGUCGCGCAUCGAGGGCUCGAAAAAAUUGCCGAGCUCCGGCUCGGCUUUCAACGCGACCCCAGGUCAGGCGGGGUUACCCGCUGAAUUUAAGCAUAUCAAUAAGCGGAGGA